ACUACGGGAGGCUGCAGUGGGGAAUAUUGCGCAAUGGGCGAAAGCCUGACGCAGCGACGCCGCGUGAGGGCUGAAGGUCUUCGGAUCGUAAACCUCUGUCAGCAGGGAAGAACGGUCACUGUGCUAAUCAGCAGUGAAUUGACGGUACCUGCAAAGGAAGCACCGGCUAACUCCGUGCCAGCAGCCGCGGUAAUACGGAGGGUGCGAGCGUUAGUCGGAAUUACUGGGCGUAAAGCGCUCGUAUGCGGUAUGUCAAGUCAAGGGUGAAAUCCCCGCGCUCAACGUGGGAACUGCCUUUGAAACUGGCAAACUGGAGUGUGUGAGAGGAUAGUGGAAGUCCAGGUGUAGGAGUGAAAUCCGUAGAUAUCUGGAGGAACAUCAGUGGCGAAGGCGACUAUCUGGCACAUAACUGACGCUGAGGAGCGAAAGCGUGGGUAGCAAACAGGAUUAGAUACCCCUGUAGUC
This 465-nucleotide ribosomal RNA is filed under the name uncultured bacterium. Its description in RNAcentral is "partial 16S ribosomal RNA". It matches the Rfam family "Bacterial small subunit ribosomal RNA", at positions 338 to 795 of the family's 1533-position model. The record is from RNAcentral.